Long non-coding RNA from Papaver somniferum (opium poppy), 266 nucleotides. RefSeq lists it as uncharacterized. The record is from RefSeq and is a predicted model, not a curated record. The transcript is spliced from 3 exons. NCBI's taxonomy places the organism in Eukaryota, Viridiplantae, Streptophyta, Magnoliopsida, Ranunculales, Papaveraceae.
GAGCAGGUACUGCAGUGAUUACUAUUCAGUGGAGAACUAUAAGGCCACAUAUGCACCAACUUUUGCACCACUAGAUGAUAAAAGUGAAUGGGUCCAGCAAUGAAGACUUCAUCUGAGACCCAUUUAAAACCGUCACAAUCUGUACAAGUGAGGUUUGAUUUUGCAGUGGGCAGUUUUUGAAGCAAUGACCAGAUUCUCCGCAAGCGUAACAACCAUUCUCUACUGGUAAUUUCACCAUCUUGCAUUUGACAGGAUCGAUGGCAUCG